GACGAACGCUGGCGGCGUGCUUAACACAUGCAAGUCGAACGGAAAGGCCCUGCUUUUGUGGGGUGCUCGAGUGGCGAACGGGUGAGUAACACGUGAGUAACCGGCCCUUGACUUUGGGAGAACUUCAGGAAACUGGGGCUAAGACCGUAUAGGAGCUCCUGCUGCAUUGUGGGGGUUGGAAAGUUUCGGCGGGUGGGGAUGGACUCGCGGCUUAUGAGCUUGUUGGUGGGGUAGUGGCUUACCAAGGCUUUGACGGGUAGCCGGCAUGAGAGGGUGACCGGCGACCUUGGGACUGAGAUACGGCCCAGACGCCUACAGGAGGCAGCAGUGGGGAAUAUUGCCCAAUGGGCGGAAGCCGGAUGAAGAAACGCCGCGUGCGGGAUGACGGCCUUCGGGUUGUAAAAAGCUUCCGCCUGUGACGCAGCGUGAGUGACGGUAAUGGGUAAAGAAGCACCGGCUAACUACGUG
RNAcentral lists this ribosomal RNA (468 nucleotides) under uncultured bacterium. RNAcentral's name for it is "partial 16S ribosomal RNA". It matches the Rfam family "Bacterial small subunit ribosomal RNA", at positions 28 to 507 of the family's 1533-position model. The record is from RNAcentral.